GCAAGUCGAGGGGUAACAUGACUACUUGCACUUGAUGACGACCGGCGCACGGGUGCGUAACGCGUAUACAAUCUGCCUUACACUGGGGGAUAGCCUUUGGAAACGAAGAUUAACACCCCAUAGUAUCAUUGAGUGGCAUCACUUAAUGAUUAAAGGUUACGGUGUAAGAUGAGUAUGCGUCCUAUUAGUUUGUUGGUGUGGUAACGGCACAUCAAGACUACGAUAGGUAGGGGCCCUGAGAGGGGGACC
RNAcentral lists this ribosomal RNA (249 nucleotides) under uncultured bacterium. Its description in RNAcentral is "partial 16S ribosomal RNA". It matches the Rfam family "Bacterial small subunit ribosomal RNA", at positions 57 to 305 of the family's 1533-position model. The record is from RNAcentral.